AUGUGUAUGACAUCUCAUGUCCUCUUCCUUGAAAAAUCACAGCUCUCAGGAGAGCUGAGAGAGGAGAUGCAGCGACACAGAGACGCAGCGCAGAAAGCCGCCGGCCACAGGAGGUUGAAGGACGAUCCAAGAAUGGCCCAUGUGCAAAGCAUUCUGCAAAGUGUUCAGCUAAGAAAGACACCAACUUUGGAGGAGUUGCUUCAGGAGUCGGAAUGUUUGUAUUCCCAGAAGACCAGUGGUGGAUUAGUGUCUGAGGGUGAUUUUUUUUUAGAAACAUCGGAGGAUAGUUCGUCCCUCUCGCUACCACCCUCUUUAAGGAAAGGAAAGGAUGGGCUUUCUUUUUCUCCAGUGACAUCAAAAGUGUUAAGUUCCUCUUUCACUUCUAAUGUGACUCCUCAGCAGAGUUACCAUGAAGAUUGCCUUGUUGACCGACAUGACAGCCAACAGGGACCACAGCAAAGUUCCCCUCGUGGUGCGAUCCACCAGUCACCACCCUCGGGUGACGUGACCUUUGAGAAUGUCGAAAACGCCCUCAGUGUCUCCGGACUGAUUGAUGCCGGCAGCGAAAGCUGUGGCUUUGGCUCUUCAGAGGGAGCUCAUAGUAUGGGGGACUUUUUCCUUCACAGCACCUCGAACACAAUCACCAAGAUGCCAGAAAUUAUUUGCCACCCUCCCACAGACGGAGAGGAAAUGGAGAGGAGUGGCCUGGAGUUGUCCCUUUGUAAUAACUUCACAGCAGUAAAAGACAUUUGUUGCAUCUCAUUCCAGGAGGAUUCAGUCACGUGUGACCAUUUAACAGCAGACAAAUCUGACAGCAGUCAUUUGGAGAGCACAGAGAGUGGAGAUACCCCUCACUCUGCUGCAGCACUUGAGCUUGACAGAGAUCACAUUUUGGACAGAAGUGAGGACCCAGUCUCCUGGUCAGAAAACAGUGGCUCUCCGGAGAGUCUGGAGUUAUCAGAGACAUUAAGCGCUCAUUGCAAUCCAACAACACAACUGCAUAGUCACCAUGAACCCACAGAAACAGAACCAGCAGACAACGGUGUAGAUGAAGUAAAGCCAUCUGAGGGGCCUCAUCGUCUGAGCCUCCAGGCCUUGCUAAAGAAAUCUCAGGAGUAUCGGCGGCGCCAGCGGAUGCUUAGGAACCAAGCCAAAAACUCUUGCGUCAAGGAGAGGACUCAGGAGCCAAAACCAAGGCCAGAGGAGCAUAGCCUCUCUGAUAAGGAGAAUGACGAGUGCCCUUACAAGGGGAGUGUGACGAUGGAGGGGAAGAAAAGUAAAGAGAGGAGAGGCUCUUUAAGUCCAACAGUGGAGAAUUCCUCAUUAAAGAAAUCCUUGGAUAAUGAAAGAAUGAAUGAGAAUGAGUCCAUUGGGAAAAAGACCAACGUUAAAUCUGAAAGCAAUCAAUUAACGGGAGAUAUGAAUACUAAGGAAAUGAUAAGAGUUGAGGAAGAAACAACCUUCAAAAAUAAUAAGCUAAACAGUUCACAAGAGGUCAUAAUAGAGCCUGAGCAAAUCAGCGUCUUCAUCCAGCAGCAGCCUGAGUUGACAGAAGCCUCCCCAAUCCAGGAAGCCUUUUCCAUGACCAUUGAGCAGAGUGACAGCUGUCCCACAGGUAUUUUUCAAGGAGUAGGGAAACAUUACACUAUCCCAGUCCCUAAUUUCUGUAUGAGUCCUGUUCAUUCCAAAAGCAAAGGAAGUAUCAGAGAUGGAGAAACCAUUGAUGUAGCAGAAAACUCAAAGGGGAAAGUUGUAGACAAUACAAGCUUGAAUGAAGACCACAGUGUUGAAGAAGGAAGUAACCGGGGGGACACAGCAGUUCCUUCCUAUGUGAAUGGGAUGGUUCAAGGUGAUGUAACGGGCGUUUUAGCAAAGAGCUCAGAGUGCAUCGAUCAGCUUGAAACGAACCUCUCCAGUCUGAAUGUGCUGAUUUCAGAUCUGGAGUCCACGGUGAAGGAACACUUGGAGAAUCGCAGUCCGACUGAGAGCGACACGCAAAGCGAGCUCAGUUUUAAAGAUGUUGAGCACUCUGUGCAAAGUAAACACAACCUACAUGUGCAGCUAUGUCAACACGUGGGUGAUUAUUUGGAGGACAGGCUGGGGGACGAUGAUCCUGACAGCAGUGAUACAGAAUACAGGGACUUGCCAAGAAGACAAUCAUUCGACAAACGCAAAUACAUGAAUGAAGGUCCAGGGACUGAACCAGUCUUCAGUGACGCUGAUGACAAUCCUCUCAUCGUGCAGGGAAAAGGAAAAGAGGCAGUUAAUUUAAGAGAGAUAAGGCCAGUCAACGCCUUAGCUUCAGAGAGGCUAAAGGAAAACGGAACAGGUAACGAAGGAUUCACAAAGCGCGGUGGACUGCAUGGCAGCUGUAGAAAGCAGCAGCCACUUGCUAGAUGUUUCCUGUCUGCAGCACAGCGUAUGCGUAUUCCUGAUGCAUUCAGAAACAUCCCAUCCCACAUAAUGGUUCCGUGUAACCUGUCGAUGCUUUUGGACACCAGUAACCAUCCCGUAGAAAGGGGCCAAGACUCUCCCCUCUCGCCAUCUCUCAACCAGUCGUACGAUGUGGACGCGCCAUCUGGCCUGUGGCUCCUUGACGGGUCAGAGUCCGACUUCGGCUCCAAAGGUCAUCUUUUUCAAGAGAAGCACCAGACCCCGGAGAGCGGGGGCGAAGGUUGGGGCGGGGUAUCCAAGGUCAAACGCAGACUGCUCAUGCAUGUCACAGAAGAGACCAGGGAAAAGAGUGCAGAAACCAGUGGACGAGCAGGCUGUGUGGUCCGACCGAGCUCCAGCACUCCCACAGCUGCUUUGUGGUUGUACGAAGGCCACGGCUGCCGGAAAAACAAGCAGGAACUAUUGAAACAGGCCCAUGCCGCCCAGAUCAGAGUCCCUGCAAGACGAGCACAGGAGGCAACAGGAACAACUGCUACAGGCGCUUGCAGUGCGUUACCAUCACCAGAGCGUGUCCUUCCCCUGCUCUGUGUCAACCUCACGUCUCGGGGACGCACUGACCUUUUUAACCCUCUCUCAGCCCUCCACCCCGGCGUCAGAGCGCUGCCGCCAUCUGCUGUCAGCGGCCGUGAAGGGUUUUCUAACUCGCAGGCUGCUGAGGACGGAGAGAGUGGCACAGCAGGUGCGCACCAUCAGGGACACGCAGCAGUUCCUGCUUGCCCUCAAGCUGCAGAGCCCCAGCAGAGUGUUGUGUAG
Scophthalmus maximus (turbot) is the source of this 3207-nucleotide long non-coding RNA. The record is from Ensembl. NCBI's taxonomy places the organism in Eukaryota, Metazoa, Chordata, Actinopteri, Pleuronectiformes, Scophthalmidae.